AACGCACCUUGCGCUCUUUGGUAUUCCGAAGAGCAUGCCUGUUUGAGUGUCAUUAAAUUCUCAAACCAACAACUUUAUUGUUUGUUGGCUUUGGACUUUGAGGGUUGUUGAUGAAAAUCGACUCCCUUUAAAUAUAUUAGCUGGCAUUGACUGCCAGACUAUGGUGUGAUAAUUAUCUACGCUAUUGGUCUGACAUGUUGGCUGCUUCUAAUCGUCUUCGGACAACUUAUGACAAUUUGACCUCAAAUCAGGUAGGACUACCCGCUGAACUUAA
This 274-nucleotide unclassified non-coding RNA is filed under the name uncultured Typhula. RNAcentral's name for it is "sequence contains ITS2". The stretch from base 1 to 52 matches the Rfam family "5.8S ribosomal RNA", at positions 103 to 154 of the family's 154-position model. Lineage: Eukaryota; Fungi; Basidiomycota; Agaricomycetes; Agaricales; Typhulaceae. The record is from RNAcentral.